This 243-nucleotide ribosomal RNA is filed under the name uncultured bacterium. RNAcentral describes it as "partial 16S ribosomal RNA". It matches the Rfam family "Bacterial small subunit ribosomal RNA", at positions 527 to 769 of the family's 1533-position model. The record is from RNAcentral.
GUAGGGAGCAAGCGUUAUCCGGAUUUAUUGGGUGUAAAGGGUGCGUAGACGGGAAAGCAAGUUAGUUGUGAAAUCCCUCGGCUUAACCGAGGAACUGCAACUAAAACUACUUUUCUUGAGUGCUGGAGAGGAAAGUGGAAUUCCUAGUGUAGCGGUGAAAUGCGUAGAUAUUAGGAGGAACACCAGUGGCGAAGGCGGCUUUCUGGACGACAACUGACGCUGAGGCGCGAAAGUGUGGGGAGC